AGUGAACGCUGGCGGUAGGCCUAACACAUGCAAGUCGAACGGCAGCACAGUAAGAGCUUGCUCUUACGGGUGGCGAGUGGCGGACGGGUGAGGAAUACAUCGGAAUCUACUUUUUCGUGGGGGAUAACGUAGGGAAACUUACGCUAAUACCGCAUACGACCUACGGGUGAAAGCAGGGGAUCUUCGGACCUUGCGCGAUUGAAUGAGCCGAUGUCGGAUUAGCUAGUUGGCGGGGUAAAGGCCCACCAAGGCGACGAUCCGUAGCUGGUCUGAGAGGAUGAUCAGCCACACUGGAACUGAGACACGGUCAAGACUCCUACGGGAGGCAGCAGUGGGGAAUAUUGGACAAUGGGCGCAAGCCUGAUCCAGCCAUACCGCGUGGGUGAAGAAGGCCUUCGGGUUGUAAAGCCCUUUUGUUGGGAAAGAAAAGCAGCAGGUUAAGACCCCGCUGUUCUGACGGUACCCAAAGAAUAAGCACCGGCUAACUUCGUG
This 492-nucleotide ribosomal RNA is filed under the name uncultured bacterium. RNAcentral describes it as "partial 16S ribosomal RNA". It matches the Rfam family "Bacterial small subunit ribosomal RNA", at positions 29 to 507 of the family's 1533-position model. The record is from RNAcentral.